RNAcentral lists this ribosomal RNA (395 nucleotides) under uncultured bacterium. RNAcentral describes it as "bacterial SSU rRNA". It matches the Rfam family "Bacterial small subunit ribosomal RNA", at positions 30 to 426 of the family's 1533-position model. The record is from RNAcentral.
AUUGAACGCUGGCGGCAUGCCUUACACAUGCAAGUCGAACGGCAGCAUGGGUGCUUGCACCUGAUGGCGAGUGGCGAACGGGUGAGUAAUACAUCGGAACGUACCCGGAAGUGGGGGAUAACGUAGCGAAAGUUACGCUAAUACCGCAUAUUCUGUGAGCAGGAAAGAGGGGGAUCGCAAGACCUCUCGCUUUCGGAGCGGCCGAUGUCGGAUUAGCUAGUUGGCGGGUAAAGGCCCACCAAGGCAACGAUCCGUAGCGGGUCUGAGAGGAUGAUCCGCCACACUGGGACUGAGACACGGCCCAGACUCCUACGGGAGCAGCAGUGGGAAUUUUGGACAAUGGGGGCAACCCUGAUCCAGCCAUGCCGCGUGAGUGAAGAAGGCCUUCGGGUUGU